UGCAGCUUUGUCAAAUUCAGUGCUUCCUCUACCAUGGACUGCACUGGCCAAAAUGGCUGCUACAGUGAAACUAUGGUUCAUGGGCCUCACAUUCAUUUUCCAUGGAUGUUGGGGAUAAAUUUGUACUAUAGACAGUU
Molecule: small nucleolar RNA, 137 nt
Organism: Esox lucius (northern pike)
Lineage: Eukaryota; Metazoa; Chordata; Actinopteri; Esociformes; Esocidae
Product: Small nucleolar RNA SNORA5
Source: Ensembl